Molecule: non-coding RNA, 165 nt
Filed under: Callithrix jacchus (white-tufted-ear marmoset)
Lineage: Eukaryota; Metazoa; Chordata; Mammalia; Primates; Cebidae
Description: Eukaryotic large subunit ribosomal RNA
Rfam family: Eukaryotic large subunit ribosomal RNA
Source: Rfam by way of RNAcentral
UUAUUGGUGUAUAGGAAUGCUUGUACUAAGGGGAGCUCAGGGAGGACAGAAACCUCCCAUGGAGAAGAAGGGCAAAAGCUCACUUGAUCUUGAUUUUCAGUACGAAUACAGACCGUGAAAGCAGGGCCUCACGAUCCUUCUGACCUUUUGGGUUUUAAGCAGGAG